Molecule: ribosomal RNA, 253 nt
Filed under: uncultured bacterium
Lineage: Bacteria
Description: partial 16S ribosomal RNA
Rfam family: Bacterial small subunit ribosomal RNA
Source: RNAcentral
UACGUAGGGGGCAAGCGUUGUCCGGAUUUAUUGGGCGUAAAGAGCGUGUAGGCGGCCAGAUAGGUCCGUUGUGAAAACUCGAGGCUCAACCUCGAGACGCCGAUGGAAACCAUCUGGCUAGAGUCCGGAAGAGGAGAGUGGAAUUCCCGGUGUAGCGGUGAAAUGCGUAGAGAUGGGGGAGAACACUCGUGGCGAAGGCGGCCAGCUAGACCAGUUCUGACACUGAGGCGCGACAGCGUGGGGAGCAAACAGG